UUUCCCUCAUUUAUCUGUGAAUACAUGCACACAGUAACCAGGGAAAAUAUUGUAGUUUUCCUGUCAACAUGAAUGACUGUUUUCAAACACAAUACUAAUUUAGGAACCUCAACACAGAGCCCUUUGUGCAGCACAUUCCUGCUGUUCUGAUGCAACCUUUUUGGGCAUCUUUCACUGUAAACAAGUUCCACUUUUGCAAAAUGUGCCUCUCCAUUUUCAAGCAAAGAUUUGCACUUGAAGAUGAAAACAUCUCUGCCAAUGUCUUGGACUGCAGCUCAGUCUUGGGUUGUGUUACUCUCCAUCAUAAUGUAUUGCUUAGUUUAUCUGGAUCUGGAUCGUCACUCUCCAGAAAAUCUGAAAAACGACACUCUGAAAAUUAAAAAAAAAAAAAUAGGGCUAUUUUCCUGAAAUUAGUUUCUGAUGUAGCAUAUCAAGCUACAAAAUUAUAUCCUCAACCAUUUAUGAAUGGUGAGAGAAGUAUUCAGACCUACUAUUGUAAAUGUGGCCUUGACCGGAAUCUUUCUUUCUUUCUCUCGUUUCUGGUUUCAGCAGCAAAAUUUAGCUUUCCUGUAAAACAAAACAAGGUUGUUGGGUUUUUUUUCACUUGAUAUACUUUUAAAAUUUUACUGACAGCAGGGAGGAAGGACUUCUUCGUCCAAUAGAGAUGUCAAAACACUUCCUGCAGGUGCGUUAGAAAGACGUUUUGUUCCCCCAGGAUGGCUAGACCCUGUAGUGUCCGAGUCCUGACAGCUGCCUGGCUGCCCCUGACUUCUUGAACACUUGUAAGCAACUGCAUUGCAGAAGCCAGCAGUUUGUCGAGAGCAGAAUGUUUAUAAAACAAUUACCGUCUUGCUGUCACGCAAAAGGAUAAUGGUGUGUUACACAGUGGAAUAACAAACACUCAGCUGCAACAAAGUCCUCACGUCUGGUCCAGUGCUUCUGGACAAGUGUGUAAGGUUUCACCACUGUAGCAGAGAGCCAGGCCAGUCUAAACCUGCCCACUUAGAACAAUGGCAUUGUAGAGUUUUAUAGACCUUUAACCACAUGGGCAGCUGUCAAAAAUAACCUAAAGACAACAAAAUGAUGCCCCAGGGUGAGUUUUAUCCAGAGGACAUGUGCUCCUAAUUUUAGUGGACUAGUCUUCAGGGGACAGCAAAGAAACAUUAGGGUUUGUAAAAAUACUCAUCCCAAAGCAAAUCAGUGGUCUCACAUGAUACCUUACCAAAUCAUUUCUAAAUGACUUACUGUAUUUUUAGGGGAAAGAUGGUCCAUCCUUGUGAUGUAGAUAAGUGAAAAAUAGGUCUUGGUUUUGUCUGGUUUUCUCUUCAAAGAUAAGAGCUUACAGGGACAUUGUAUAUGACCAAACUUCAGGCAUUUCUGGAAUCCAGCAGACCAUCUCCACCUCCUCACCUCUGAUUGUGUGUCGACUCCUCAGUGGUAUGUAUUUCACUCUAAGCAAAAAUGUGACUUUCACCUUCCUCUGGAGAUACUGUAGCUUCUGAGAAAAUUAUAUAUUCUUUAUUGAUAUGUGUAAUUGCUAAUGAAAUUAUCAUUGACUUGAUAAUUUAUAAAAAAUAAAAGUAAAAAAAAGCUGAUUACAAUACACUGCAAAGCAUGUGAGGGACUGCGUAAGCAAAUAGUGAAACCAUUUCAGAAUAAUGUUUCUCAGCAUAAAUUUACACAGCAUUUGAGGAUUUUUAUCACAUUCCAUACAUAAUGUUAACAUUUUGAGUGAAGCUUCAAAAUUAAAAUCUGUCUUACAGUCCAUAACAGCUCUUCGGCAGCACAGCAUAAAAAAGACAUGUCUCUGUAGCGUUAAUCACUGCAUGGACCCAAUUCACUGCAAAAAUCUUCACCCUGGUGUUGCAUCUGCAAAUGGAGGUUACCCAGAAAUACAGGCAACUACUCUGGGCCUGAUAUCACUAAGAUGAACAGAAAAAAAAAGUAGAAACUGUCCUGUGGUCUGAUCAAUCACUAUGUUGUAUUUGUUUUGAAUUUAUGAACACUAAUUGUAUGUAUGCUGAUUAUGAAUUCUGGGCCACUAAACUAAACUAAACUAAAGCAGUUUGUCUGUUGUUUAGAUGUUUUAUUGCCAUAAAUUAUUAAUCAAACUGGAGCAUCACACUUCAGAUUAUUUUAAAGUAACGGUAUGCUUCAGUCGAUCAGCAACAACUCAGUUUUUGUCAUAGCAGUAUGUAAACGAGUGAGAAGCACAAACUUACUCCCCUACAAUUGCCACAGAACAGUCCUUUGAUCUUUGUACACAGUAUUCUUCCUUUUCUUCCUUUUUGUGACUCCGUUGUGAUUUUGACACAUUUAUGCAUCUGUCAUUAAUAAAUAAGCAUCCAUGGAAAAUCUCAAAAAAGGAGGUUUUUGGUUAAUAAAACACUUGAACAAAGAGACAGCCUAUGACAGGUUCCUGUGAAGUUUAUCUGAGUAAGAGAACAUUCUUUGGCUGUGCUUUACACCAAUAAUAUGAUGUGUGAGAUGACAUUUGGACAAAAGUGAAACAGGGCUGGAUGUUACAUAAGUGCCCUUAAAUACACCCUGUGGAAACCUUCUGGGUGACAUCAGCAGUCAUGAAGUUAUCAGCUUCUCCUCACUGCAUUCCUCCAGCAUCACCACGUAACUCUUUCUACAGAUGGUGAAGGCCCUAAAGCUUGGCUGGGGCUUUUGAGGGCCAAAAAAAGGUCACUGUUACCUCAAUGCUUGGUUACAAUAUUACUAUAACCAUUGCUAAUACAACCACACUAACAAACUGUUAAUAAUACCCUUUCCAAAUCAUAGCAAAAGACUUCUCAAGACAUUUGGUGCCCCCUACGUUGUCUUUAAAACGCCUUUCUGUGUUGAGACGUUAAAUACCAAAUCGUCUAAGUUUCCUGGAGUUUUGUGAAGUCUGAGGAAAGCUGAUAGUGACUGACAGAAUAGAUGUUGAAGGCCAUUACAUAAUAGAGCCUUAGAUGUUGUUUCAUACCGACAGCGCUUCUGAUAACUCUUUGGUGUUAUUUAUUUUUCAAGGAAUUUUCUUGAAAUUCCGACAUGAACCCAACCAGAUGGCCUGCAUAUGAAGUCAAGCUCUUUACCUGUCAUACCUCACCUAUCUUAAAGGUCUCCAAAAAGGGAUAUUGUGCUCCUGUGGUCUUUCUUCAGGUACAAUUUGAGACCAAAGACAUCAGUGGUAUGAUUGAAGGUCUUAGUAAAAGCUUGACCAAAGUUGGCUUACCUUCAUGGCCUUGUUAGAGCUUGAUAUACAACAAAGACCCAAAAUGUAAAAACUGGUUGAUAAUGUAACAAGAUGCUGAGCCCAAAACAUAACCACUUUUUGCCCAAAAUGAAGCAACUUGUUACAUUUUGGGUCAGUUAUUACAUUUUGGGUUUCAUGACAUCAUUUUUAUUAUAUUUCGGGUCAACACUUUUGUUACAUUAUUGACAAUUUUUUAAAUUUAUUAUAACAUUUUGGGCUUUAUUACAAUAAUAAAAAAAAACAUUUUGGCUCAUUGUUACAUUUAAGGCUCUAACAAGCUUGUUGGUGACAAAGACAUCGUCACUUUUGCUGAGAAGAAGACCGCUUUGGAGAAGACUGGUGCUCCCUGUUCAGCCAACAUGGAUGUGAAUUCAUUUUUUCUUAGGAAGAUUUUAAAAGAGGCUGUUAAUUAUUUUGGUUGUCUGAAAUGUAAAGAGAGAAACUCACCAGUAUUCUCCUUUCCCUAAGUCAGUUUCUCCAUGAUAUUUGAUUUUAAAGCACAUUCAGUUUUGUUAUUGUUUUUUUCAUAAUGUCACUGAUACUUCAUGAUGAAAUCAUUAAAAAUUUUCUGGAACAAGCUAGCCGGACUAGCUUUUUUUUCUUUAGUUAACAACAUAGCUAUGCUAGUUAGUGGUAGGCUAGUAAGACUUCCUCUUACUUGGUUGGUAGUUUAUCAGCAAACUAGCUAGUAAAGUAGCUUGGUAUGGUUGGCUAGCACUAUGCUAGGUUACCUAACAUUAGCUUGCUUGUGAAUGCUAGCUUAAGUUAACUACUUCAUUUUAUCGAAAAUUAACUCAGAGUCAGGCGAGAUAAAAAGCUUUCCUCUGUCACAGCUUUGUUAGAAGAGGUCCUCAGUUGAAAGGCUGGUUGAUCGACUCAUGAAUCCACUAUUAUCGAGCCACUGACUUCUGUACACAGAAUUUUAGGAAAAAGAGGGGAAAGACUUUAACAACUAGAAAAUCACUUGGAGAGCGCAGACCUCCGCUAGGGAGCAGCUCAUGUACCCCCUUAUAUUGUGAUUCACACCAAAACUUUUACUGUUACGUGUCUUUUAUUAACUUUCAUUUGUGUUUAAACUGGUAUGUUCACUGUUCAUAAUGUUCCUAAAACAAGAAAUGCCCUGAUCCGGAUUCGAAUCCAGGACCUUCUUACUGUGAGGUGACAGUGCUAACCACUACACCACUGUGCCGCCCAUUAGUUAUCUUUCAGCAUUGAAAAUUCCAACGACACCCUUAUUUUUGUGUGUUCUGGAUCACAGUAUCCGAAAUUUUGUCUGGAUCAGGAUCAACCUUUGACACCUCAUAAAACUCAUUGAGAUCCUUUUGUGUAAUUUUUUACUAAAGACUCUGGCCAUUUUUAUAGAGUUAAAUGCAAAAAUUCCAAAAUUUGCCCUAUCUCACAAUGAUAAAGAAUCCUUCAAAAAAUUCAUGGAUCCAGAAGGCGAUCCAGAAGGCGA
Molecule: long non-coding RNA, 4700 nt
Filed under: Xyrichtys novacula (pearly razorfish)
Lineage: Eukaryota; Metazoa; Chordata; Actinopteri; Labriformes; Labridae
Source: RNAcentral